AUUUGGUUUAUGUCAUGGAAUAC
RNAcentral lists this non-coding RNA (23 nucleotides) under Mus musculus (house mouse). The record is from RNAcentral. Lineage: Eukaryota; Metazoa; Chordata; Mammalia; Rodentia; Muridae.